GGUCGUAUUUUAAAAGAAAUGUUUAGAAUGUUUCAAACUCGCCGGCGUUUACGGAUUCGCCGGAACCCCGUCAAAGGAUAUUUCGUUGGAAAAAUGCUUUUGUUUUUUUUCGUGUUUUUUUUUUAUUAACAUUUUCCGUAGCUGCGGAAAACGCUCGAAACUGCUGCAAUAUUAUCUAAUUUCGCAUUAUGAGUACGUGCGCGCGUGAUACGGUAGCGUAUUAUACAGAGUGUUCGCGUUUAUUUGUUACAACCGAAUAAACAAAAACAAAACAGACGAACAUACUUCGCGCGUGGGUGCGGCCACUGUUGCGGGCGUGAACUCGGGAAGGUAG
Cinara cedri is the source of this 334-nucleotide non-coding RNA. The record is from the annotation of a GenBank genome assembly. NCBI's taxonomy places the organism in Eukaryota, Metazoa, Arthropoda, Insecta, Hemiptera, Aphididae.